GACGUAGGGCGCGAGCGUUGUCCGGAUUUAUUGGGCGUAAAGAGCUCGUAGGCGGCUUGUCGCGUCGUCCGUGAAAACCUGGGGCUCAACUCCAGGCUUGCAGUCGAUACGGGCAGGCUCGAGUUCGGUAGGGGAGACUGGAAUUCCUGGUGUAGCGGUGAAAUGCGCAGAUAUCAGGAGGAACACCGGUGGCGAAGGCGGGUCUCUGGGCCGAUACUGACGCUGAGGAGCGAAAGCGUGGGGAGCGAACAGG
Molecule: ribosomal RNA, 253 nt
Filed under: uncultured bacterium
Lineage: Bacteria
Description: partial 16S ribosomal RNA
Rfam family: Bacterial small subunit ribosomal RNA
Source: RNAcentral